Molecule: long non-coding RNA, 213 nt
Filed under: Medicago truncatula (barrel medic)
Lineage: Eukaryota; Viridiplantae; Streptophyta; Magnoliopsida; Fabales; Fabaceae
Description: long non-coding RNA (MTRU_LNC007178)
Source: RNAcentral
CCUUCCACUUUGGAUAUAGUGCUUCUUUUUUUGAUUGAUAUAGUAUAACAUUAACAAUGUUCCUUUUUGAUAUAGUAUAGCAUUGAUAUAACACCGAUGGUGCUCUUUUUGGUAUUUUGUGUAUGUAAUUGACUAAUCACCACUCUCUUAAUCGUCAAUAUUAUUUAUAUUUAUGUUAAUAUGAUACGAGUCUAGUUUCUUGUGUUUGUUAAU